Myotis brandtii (Brandt's bat) is the source of this 506-nucleotide long non-coding RNA. RefSeq lists it as uncharacterized. The transcript has 3 exons. The record is from RefSeq and is a predicted model, not a curated record. NCBI's taxonomy places the organism in Eukaryota, Metazoa, Chordata, Mammalia, Chiroptera, Vespertilionidae.
CAAUGAGCCACUCUGGCAGGGCUCUUUCUCUUUCUAGAAAUUCCAUGGAAAUCAUGGAGAAUGGCUCCAAGCAUCUGCUAUGUACUGCAAGCUCCUUAUGAAUCUGAGUCCUACUCAUCUUUGAAUUUCUGGAACCUGGAACAUAGUCUCUAAUCCCUGGGUGUCUCUGAAGGAACACCAUAGGAGAAGACCAGAGAACAAGACUUUACUUCAAGAAAAAAUGCUUGUGUAGUUGGCGGGGGCCUACCGGUUUAACAGCGUUUGUCCUAGGAAAGCCCUUUCCAAACCAACACGGACAUUUGUCUUGGCUGUGUGGAAACAGACUUUUUUGAUCCAAAUUUAAAGAAUGAAGCUGAUUAUUGUCUAUGAAUAGGAAUAACCAAAGGAAAUAUUUGACAUUUAUUAAAUGAUUUUUAAACCCGUGGUUGCUUUUUGACCAUGGGCCAAAAAUUUUUUGUAAUGUGAUAACUGCAUUAUUUCUCUAGUAAAAUAAUUUUGCUAAAGCC